GUACCUUUUUAAGAGGAGGUAUUGGAGGUAAUCGAUGAAAAAUCCAGUUAAAAGAUAUAUGGAACUCCUCAAAAUGGGAAAGCCUCACCUCUAGACAAACUCUUGUUAAUCCUCUAAAGCCCCACAUUCAAACCCUUGGUGAUAUGAUGGCCAUAGCAGAUCCCACGUUUGGAGAUACCAUAGCGUUAGAAACAGGGUAUGCAGAUACAAACCUAUGGCUGGAAUGGUUGAGAUAUAAUGCCCAUUCCAGCAAUAGGUCAAACUGUUAUGUAUGUGGUAGUGCCAGACCUCAUCUAGGAACUGUACCUUUACAUGUCCCUGAUGAGUACUGGGAAUGCUUCCUAAGUUUGUUUUCAGGUACUACUGUUAAUACUACAGGAUGUGAAGAAUGGAAAAAGGGUCACCCUAUUGGUGAACCCAAGUUUAAAUUAAAUGAUGUUGUCUCAGUAUACCCUGGUAAUUAUACUUGUUUUCAGGGAAAUAAUAAUGGUAAGGUGGGUAAACCAUUUGAUAACUUUUCUUCAGGAUUCUGCUCCGCCUACAGUAAUAUUACCUUCGUGAAUCAAACACAAUCUGUGGGAGAUGUUUAUUGAAUAUGUGGAGAUAUGAAAAUACGUUCUAGACUCCCCACCCCCUGGAGAGGAGAAUGUGCCCCAGCCAAAAUAAUCAUGCUCCUCCAUAUAUUUGGCGACUCUCUCCCUGAAAUUAAGGUUGUAACUGAUUCCACAAGAAGGAAAAGGGAAUCCCCACAAGGUAGUUUCGACCCACAUAUCUAUCUAGAUGCCAUUGGUAUUCCAAGAGGGGUUCCUAAUGAAUUUAAAGCUAGAGACGAGGUGGCAGCAGGAUUUGAAUCAAUAUUUCCCAUUAUAACAGCUAACAAGAAUGUUAACUGGAUUAAUUAUAUAUAUUAUAAUCAGCAAAGAUUUGUAAAUUAUACACGAGAUGCAUUACAAGGUCUUGCUGAACAAUUACAGGCUACCUCACAAAUGACUUUCCAGAAUAGAAUGGCCCUUGAUAUGAUUUUAGCAGAAAAGGGAGGAGUCUGUAAAUUACUUGACUCCGGUGUUUGUUGUACCUAUAUUACAGAGAACACUGGCCCUAAUGGUAAAGUAACCCUAGCUAUAAAGAAAUUGGAAGACCUGUCCAUAGAAAUGAAGAGGAAUUCAGGUAUUGAUCACCCAGGGGCAGAUAUGUUUAAGUUUGACAGUAUCCUAGACUGGUUAAAGAAUAUUGCAAUACUUAUUGUUAUGGUUCUGAUCCUUGCUCUACUUGUUUAUGCUAUUUUCAAGAUUAUUGUAUUCUGCAUUUACAAACAUACACGCAACACUGUUCCUGUAAAAUCCCCUGCUUGCUAUGAUGAGUAUCUCCAAAUGUAUACACAUAACCAAAGCAAUGGUGAACAUGCUGAUACAGAUCUAUAAGUUUGUGGUACUGGUCAGAUGCCUAGUCCUAUGCUAUGGGAAUAGUGGCCGAAGACAUAAUGAAAGACCUGCAGGAUUGGCUAGCAAUCCUGAAUAUA
Pelobates cultripes (western spadefoot toad) is the source of this 1519-nucleotide non-coding RNA. Lineage: Eukaryota; Metazoa; Chordata; Amphibia; Anura; Pelobatidae. The record is from the annotation of a GenBank genome assembly.